RNAcentral lists this ribosomal RNA (98 nucleotides) under Bacteroidales bacterium. RNAcentral's name for it is "partial 16S ribosomal RNA". It matches the Rfam family "Bacterial small subunit ribosomal RNA", at positions 1 to 97 of the family's 1533-position model. The record is from RNAcentral. Lineage: Bacteria; Pseudomonadati; Bacteroidota; Bacteroidia; Bacteroidales.
ACAACGAAGAGUUUGAUCCUGGCUCAGGAUGAACGCUAGCGGCAGGCUUAACACAUGCAAGUUGCGGGGCAGCGGGGUCUUCGGACUGCCGGCGACCG